AGUCUAGAGCUGUGAAGAAUCCAUGAAGAUACAUCUAGAACAAUGAAAGCAUAGAUCUCAAUCUUCUUGUGGGAACGAAGGCAAAGUUCUCCUCCGGGAGCCAUUCGGUCUUUAUCUGGUAAUGAGCAUGAACUGGCGGACAUUGUCAGAACAAAAACAAAUCUGGUGGAUUUAAAUUGGCUCUCACAGGUGUCUUAUUUUGACUGUGCAUCUCCCAUGAAACUCUUCUUUGGAUGUAGGACAUGCCUCGUGCUAAGAUUGCAUCCAACACGUUUUCUCCAUUGAGGAUACUACGAGCUCCUGGAGGGCUUGCUUGGCUCUCCCUGCGUACCAUCACGCCCAGCCGGAGUCGGAGCUGGUAAAGCAGCCAGGAAUUCCCAAGCUUUCCCAGGCGAGGGUGGAGAAACACCAGGACGCCUUUUUCUUCUUCCCCGGUCAUCUGCAGCCAAGUGUGCAUCGGUCAAAGGCAAACUCUGAAUCGGGCUUUGUGCAAGUCUCUGGAAAGAUACCCAAGAUCGUGUGACAGGGAAAAAGUGACAGUGGUGGUGGUGGCAGUGACAUCUGCGGAGCCAGCCCCAUCCCUAUCUGCCGCAGGAUGCGUGUGGGCAUGCUUUGUGGGAACAAUCCAGCCCGGGUAGAAUGGCGCUUUUGACAUCAGCUGGGGCCUGGGCUGCCUUACAAUGAGGCCUGUUGGUCAAAGGGAGACUGUUUAAUGAACUGCGCACCAGAGGCCAGCUCUGGCCAUCUGUACCGAGGCUCUUUGGAGCGAGUCUUUACUGUAACUGGCUACAUGUGUGAAAGCACAUUGCCUUUCACAGAAAAGCGACUGCAACAACAAAUUCAUAUUUCAGGACCGUGAACUUUUGAAUGCUCUUUGUGGCGUGUGAUGAAAAGCUCGAUACAAGCUUGAUACUCAGACUUUGUUAAAGCGGGGAAGCCUGAGAAAGUAUCUUUCUUUUGGCUCUGGGGUCAACGAUGAUAAUGGCUUUUUCCUUACCCUGGGCAGCGACGACCUGUCGAGGCUAGGAAAACACUUUAUGAAAAUGGAAUUCAUUAAAGCCAGUCAUAAUCAGGGGGGGAAGGCAGGCGAUCACGACUGUCACCACUUCGUAGGCGAAGCGUUGAUGCUCAGGGGGAACAGUGACUCCUGACCAAGGUCGAAGAGCAGGUGGGAGGUGGCACUGACAUGUCACUGUGUCCUCCAGCCUCUGGCAGCGAGGAAGGACACGCAAGGUUUGCACCGACUUUUCCUGGCAGGCUUGUUCUUCCCAGCCGGAAUGCAGGUGGCAAUGUUGUGAUUCCUGGCGUAACCUUCAAUGCUUCAAUGAUAAUCUCUGUCGGCGCCAGGCACCUGCGGAGUGUCACCGCGUAACUCCCGGGCUUAAGUGAUGCAUGCCGAGGUUUUCGUAGCAGCCUCUCAUUUAUUGGUUGUGUUGGAAAGAAAUCUCUAAUACCUAACUGGGUACCUCUGGAUUUUAACAGCUGUGCUUUAUAAGAGAUUUGGGAGGGGGAUUGUUUUCAAAGUGCCUUUCACAAAGUAUCACCUUCGAUGGGAGUUUCCAUUCUGUUCCAGUAGAAUGACUCACAGUGCCCCUAUGCUCAGAAAACCAAGCCUGCAGGAACAAUCAGACAGCUUCUUACUACUCAUUUUAGCAAAGCUUCUAUGCUUGAGGAACCAGACCUCUUCUGUGUGCCACUGAUCGAGGCCCCAAUUUCCAUGAGGACUGAAGCGCCUUUGUUCAGAGCCUCACCUGAUGUAUCUUUCAUCUGGCUGCUGAUUCAGAUCCUUUAAU
This is a long non-coding RNA of Canis lupus familiaris (dog), 1793 nucleotides long. RefSeq lists it as uncharacterized. NCBI's taxonomy places the organism in Eukaryota, Metazoa, Chordata, Mammalia, Carnivora, Canidae. The transcript is spliced from 4 exons. The record is from RefSeq and is a predicted model, not a curated record.